Podospora conica is the source of this 115-nucleotide non-coding RNA. Lineage: Eukaryota; Fungi; Ascomycota; Sordariomycetes; Sordariales; Podosporaceae. The record is from the annotation of a GenBank genome assembly.
GGCAACUUGGCCGAGUUGGUCUAAGGCGAUGCACUCAAGGAUUUCUCCUUGCCUCAAUUAAUGGGGUAGAUUUGCAUUCUCGAAAGGGGCGUGAGUUCGAAUCUCACAGUUGUCA